UGUAAAGUGCAAAUGUCAUUGAGAUGAGU
RNAcentral lists this small RNA (29 nucleotides) under Bombyx mori (domestic silkworm). RNAcentral's name for it is "ovarian small RNA-35287". The record is from RNAcentral. Lineage: Eukaryota; Metazoa; Arthropoda; Insecta; Lepidoptera; Bombycidae.